ACAUUUACCUCACUGCUGCCCUGGGGAACUCUAAAUUGGAGGAUGGUGCUGGGUUUUUUUCUAGAUCUUCACCCUCAUGAGCAGCUUCUUGUGCCUGCUGAGAGUGUUCUGGUUUGAAUCAAGAGCGGAGACCCAAGACCUGGGCCACACGAAGAAAUGAAGGGAUGAUGAUGAUGAUGAUGAUGAUGAAGAUGAUGAUGAAGAUGAUAACUAAAACUGACUGAGAUAUACCAAGUGCCAAGUGCUCCUCUAGGUGCUUUACUGCUUCACUUCAUUUACUCCUCAGAAGUCUUUGAGUCCAAUUCUACUAUCCUUCAAGAUCCUACUUGGCCCAUGGACUUGCAGGACUUCCCUAACUCCAGCUCUCACUGAUCACACCCUCCCCUGAAGGACCACAGCACUGGUUAUACGUAACAUACAUUUUGCCACUUAGAAUCUAAGCAUCACUGAUUAUUAGAUCUGACUGGAUUUCAGAACUGGAGCUCAACAUAGGAAACUGGAGCUCAGGGAAAGUGACUUGCCCAAAGUCUUGUAGUUAGUUAGCAGAGCAUGGAGCAUCAAUAUUGCAACUCUAACUAGUUUUGGUAACCCAAAUUUACCAAACAUCUGAGUUAAAAUGGAACCAAGCCCUGACCCACUGAGAACCAGCAAUUGCAAAAUAGGCUUAUACCUUCUGUAAGACGAAGAAAGGACACUCAGAGGAGGGAGUUACAAAGUUGGCUUCUAUCAGAAUGUAUUAUCUAUAAGGCAAGAUACUCAGAACAAGAACAAGCAUCAUCUGGGGGGAAAGAUUAAGAUCAAAACCAUAAAAAUGUAUCUAUUUGGUCAGAGCCUACAAUUUGGACAGCUCUGCUGUAAUGAGCAAAGUCUCUGUACAACAAAGUUCCUGGCCUGCCAGACACUGCCCUUGAAUAGCACCACCUUGGAGAGCGUAUUCCAGUUGCUUGACCUCUGUCCUGAAUCAAGAUCAUUCCCUUGUAUGAGAGGACUUCAAAAAGUUCACAAAAAAUGGAAUUAAAAGAUAAAAAUAAAAAAUUAUAAACUGUAUUUCUCAACAUAAGCUCCAUCAAAUUCAAGACACUUUUGUAAGUGACGAUACCAGCCAUUUAGUCCAUCCCUAAAGAACUGAGGGUCCUAGGAAUUUAACCAUGUCAAUGCAGUCUUUUUACAUUAUUAGCUGAAGAAAAAUGGGUGCCUUUAAAGAUUUUUUAAGAUUAGGAAACAAAAAGAAAUCAGAGGGAGCCAAAUCAGGACUGUAAGGUGGAUGCCUAAUGAUUUCCCAUUGAAACUCUCACACAAUUGCCCACAUAAGAAUGAGCAGGAGCACUGAUGAGAUGGAGAAGGACUCUCUGGUAAAGUUUUUCUGGGCAUUUUCCUGCUAAAUCUUUGGCUAACUUUCUCAAAAAAUUAUUGGAAGAAGCAGAUGUUAUCAUUCUUUGAGCCUCCAGAAAGUUGACAAGCAAAAUGCCUUGAGCAUUCCCUCAAACACUGUUGCCAUGAUUUUUGCUCUUGACCAGUCACUUUUGCUCUGACUGGACCACUGCCACCUCUUGGUAGCCAUGGCUUUGAUUGUGCUCUGUCUUCAGGACUGUACUAGCAAAGCCAUGUAUCAUCACCUGUUACAAUUGUUUGAAGAAAUGUUUCAUGAUCUUGAUCCUACUUGUUUAAAAUGUGUAUUGAAAGCUCUGCUCUUGUCUGCAGCUGGCUUGGGUGCAACAGUUUUGGCAACCAUCAAGCAGGAAGUUUGCUCAAUUGUAAUUUUUUAGUCAGAAUUACAUAAGUUGAACCAGUUGAGAUAUCUAUGAUGUUGGCUAUUGUUUCUGCUAUUAAUUGUUGGUCCUCUUCAGUCAGGGUAUGAACAAGAUUAACUUUUUCCUUGAAUAUUGCUGUGGAUGUUCUGUUGCUGUGGGCUUCAUCUUCAACAGCCUCUCAUCCCUUCUUCAAAUGAAUUAUUCAUUUGCAAACUCCUGAUUUCUUCGGGGCAUUGUCCCCAUAAACUUUUCAUAAAGCAUCAGUGAUUUCACUAUUCUUCCACCUAAGCUUCAACCAUAAAUUUGAUGCUUGUUCUUGCUUCAAUUUUAGCAGAAUUCAUGUUGCUCUGAUAGGGGUUCUUCUCAAACUGAUGUCUCAUCCUUCUUAGUGCCCCAAACUAGAUCCUGUUCAGACAUGUUAUAACUAAUUAGUAUGAGUUUAUUUUGGUGCAAAAAGUUUUUGAAAGUCAUGGAUGUUUUUUCAUAAUAUGUACUUUCCAUGAACUUUUUGAAGACCCUUCAUAUUUUCAACCUUAGCUCAGCUGAGAAGAUAACUGAAUCAUUAGAGUAGUUGAGUAAAAAUUAUACCCAAAGCAAAGAAUUAAAAACCUGAGAAAUUAACAAUUAGAAUGUAAACAAAGAAAAAGAAGAAUCACAUUAAGUAAGUGAUGACUUUCUUUUACGACUGUAGUGUAUCUAAACUGAUAAGUUUUGUAAUUAUCAAAUUAUUGUCAAUUUAUUUGCUAAGGCAAUUAAAGCAAUUAGAAUUGUGAAGACUUUAAUUGCUUAAGUGUGCAAGAAAUAUUUACUCGUUAGGAAAAUCUAGUUAGUUAAGUGAUUUAAGACAUUUUUGAGUUAUUAUUUAGUAGCAUGUGAAUGUUUUCAAAAUGUUAAUUGCUCAAAAAUUAGUAAAUUGGAUAUCAAACUAAGUAGGAAUCAUUGUGAACACUUUUUUCCAUUCCCCAACAUCCCUUGGACAUGAGAAGCCUUGACUCCGCCCAGUUCCUAACUCCAAGGCUGGUCACCCCAGCGCCUCCCUCGAUCAUGCCGACCUUGCGUUGCUCUCUGUUUCUUUCAUGCAUGUUCCUUUCCUAUCACAGAAGCAGAGAUGCAGCAUCCUCUCUUCUUUUUCCUUCACUGCUCAAAGCAACCCCAAAUUAUCUUUACAUUUUAAAUUAAUUGCAUCUCACAGAAUUGAAUGGGACUUUUAAUCUAAUGACAGCAACAGGCCAGGUGAAUCAGGCACAGCUCUUGUCAAGAAACAUCUCUGAGGACAUGACAAAAAAAGGGAAAGUAUUUCCAUAGCCAGAGAAGGGAGAUUGUCAACACACUCACCUGGAAUAUACUGUGCUUCAGGAUGAUGCUGGCGGUCAGGUUUCCCAGAAGUGAUACUGAAAGAGGUGCUUAUGGCCGCCUCCAGAACGGUUUUAAUAGAUCAACAGAGGGAGGAAGACAUGACCAACCAAGGGAGCCUAGGAGUCAUGCCUCCAGCCUCUCCUUCCUCACCGUUUGCAGCCCCUCAGCCCUUCACUCAGGACAGACAAGUAUCAGGUAUGAGGAAAGCCUGAGAAGGGAGACAGAGCAAAGGUCAAGGGUGCGGUGCGCUUGGUUCGGAGAAUAAAGCAAAGGGAGAAACUUGGCAAAGGCUGAUUUGGGAAAAAGAGCUCCUGGGAUGGCUAAUGCUUACAACCGUAAAGGUGACAACUAGGAUUUUAUUCAAAAGCCAGUCGGAACUGAGGCUAAUGGGGAGGAAAGGCCCGUGUGGUCAGAAAAGAAAAGAAGAGGAGUAGUUUGAACCACACGGGGAAGAAAGCUGUGGAGUCAGUGAGAGCAAAAGCACACCCGGAAGAUGUGGGAAAGAAAAGAGCCCCAGGAGGAUGCCUCGCCCGAGCAGUAGAAAUGUGGCAAAGGGGCCCUUUGGCCACCAGGCAAUUCAGGAUCAGAGAUGACUAAGACAUUGCCUGGCAUGUGGGUGUAGACUGAGGUGAAAACCUGAGGUGAGAAAAAGCAUUUGAGCCACUUGCAUAAAGCAAGUGAAAAGUAUAAGAAGGUAAGGUUUUCCAGAAUAUUAACAUUUGGGACAAAACAUUGGCCUUAGUGUCAAGAAGGGUUUCUACACGCAUUGCAAGACCCAUUGAAAGUUAAUCCUUCUGUGGUAGAAAAAGCUGUCCCUUUAUUUGUACAGUCUCUUAUUUUGCACUUAGGGGAAAACACAGCGAUGUGAAUCAUCCUGUGACUUCCAUCCCUGGUGAACAGGGUCGUGUUUGGGAGAACCCGUAGACUUGAAAGCAGCAAGCAUUUAAAAAGGCGCUAACUGAAGUAUGUAUUUCGAAACAAAUUUUUUUUUCAUCCAGACUGAAUCAGUAGACGUUAACCACAGCAGGAGAGGCUGAUGUGGGAGGGAUGGGUGAGAGCAGAAAUACAAAUACCAGUAAUAGCUGACUGUACCGAGCACCAUGUGCACGCCAGGCAUUGCCUUAAGCAUGUUGUAUACAUUGUGUCAUUUAAUCCUCCCAACAAUCUGCCUUGUGAGAUAGUACUAUUACUUAAAAGUGAGGAGCCUUGGGCACAGAGCAAUGUAGUAACUUGCCCUAGGGCCCAGCAGUGCUGGGGUUGUAGUGCAGGUCUGUCUGACCCCAGCACACAGCUGAGGAUGGGGUGAUGGGCAGACAGCAUUGCAUCAAGACCUGAGAGAGGACCACAGACCGAGGCUGCAGCCUUAAACCAUGACGUGCUCCAUGAUGUGCUGAACAUGGGGAGAGGAUGCACAGUAUGCACAUCAGUGGUACAUUAGUGGCUGUACCACUUAUUGGCUACCUGAGACAUCUUGCUUUUCUGUUAUUUACAUUGUGUCUUGUCCCCGCAACCUGACCAACAGCUCCCGAAGACGGGGACUGUCUUGUGAGUGUCUAGCCUCCUGCUUGGUACCUAUUGCACUCAGAAGCCCGUCAGUGAAAACACAGCUGAUUAGUCCUUUCUAGCCUCUUGCUCAACCCUCUUUGUGAGUGAAGGACAGUCAGACCCUGAACAUUUUAAAAAAGUGAUAAACCAAUUUUGUAAACACUCGACUGGGAAUUUUCUAAAUGCCCUACCAGUAGAAUGAAUUUAAUGAUGCCCCCAAAUUUUAAUAAAACUUUUUUCAUGCUGUCUUCAGGUCAAUGUUUAAUUUAAAAUUUUACACUAAACUUUUUAAAAAUUUUUCUUUUGUAUUUAAAUUGUCAUUCUAUUGAGGCGGUUAAAAUGUAUCAUCUGCCUAUCAAAAUACCGUCUUGGGGCAAUCAGACUAUCCUAAAAGUUAUUUUUUGCUUUAAAGAAAAAAGGGCUCCAGAAUUGUCCUUAGAUUUUCUGUUGGAAUAACAUGUUGAUGAUACAAUACUGAAAAUGUAGUCAAAGGAGAGAGAGAGAGAGAGAGAGGGAGAGAGAAGAGAGAGAAGAGGGAGAGAGAAAAGAAAAUACUCACAGGAUAAUGCUAAAAUACUAAUCUUUCCUUGUUGUGCACCUGAGAGUAUAGAACUGACCCUACCAGGGUCUGGAAUGGUUGAAAUGCUGACAACAGUUGAUGACUUUCUGAUCAGAUUCCAUUGUCACUCUUGCCCAGUACUGAAAUGGGUAAAGGACAACAAAUCAUCCCACCUUUAGCAAUAACUAAAUGGACAAAGGACAACAAACGGAUAAAGGAUAAAACAUAACAAAUCUUCCUACCUUUAGCAAUAACUAGAAUGACAUCUUUCCAGUUGAUGGGAUAUCCUUCCCCCAGCGCGAUGCUGCUUGGAAAGGUGGAACUGCAAAGCCCCUCGGCUCCAGAGAGUAGAAGUUAGUCUGGGCAUCGUAUAUCUCAGAGGGGGGAUAAAAAGGGUUCCUGAGGGAAGCUUGGGCAGCAGUGGUGAAUCAACUAUUGUCGUAGCUGACUUCAGCGAAGUCCAGCUUUAGGAAAACCUCCAUUUUGUGCAAACUGAUCAAAUACAGAUGUUUCCAGGGAGCUGACCCUAGUGACCGAGACUUCACUAGAGAUUGAACGGCGGACAGCUGGUCAGUAGUGGGGUGAAGGCAUGUUUUGGUGGGAGAGUGUAAAUGUACAUACAGUUGACAGGAUGUGAAUGACACUAGACAAACAUCUGCUAUAUUGACAAAUAUAUGUUUUACUUCUAAAAAGUCUUAUACCAGGGAGAUGUAGUGAAAAAUAAAUACAGUUUCAGGCUUUGCUAGAUGUCUCAUGUGCAUGUCAAACUCUGAAAGAAAUGAAGGGCAAAAAAAUAUUAAAAAUGGGUUCAACCUUCCGUCUUCCUGAAAUAUCAGAUUUCAUAUAAAACUCAUCAGCUGAGCUAAGUAUUAGGCUUGAUCAAUGGCAGGAAACUAAGGGAUCAAAUGCUAAUAAAUCAGAAACAGAUAUCCUCUCUCAAGCAGAAAAUAUAUCACAAAACUGAAAACGAGAAAAUCAUCUGAUGAUUUUUUAAUGCACGCGCAUGGAGAAAAUGAACUUUUGGGGAGGGACGCUGCACCUUAAACAGGGACGAAGAGUAAUAUCCUUAAAGAACUUAAUCUGACUUUGAUGUUAACAUAUUCAAAAGAAACAAGAAAGAUCCAGCUAUUUGGUGAAGAAUGAAUACUGAGGAGUAACUAAGUGUUUGUGGUUGUGCAGAUAUUAAAAUGGCAAAGUAAACACAUUCAAAUCUUGCUAGUAAUAUUUCACUAGAGGUUUUUGCGCAUUUUCUCUCUUUUGGAAUUAUAUAUACAGCCCUCAGCCCUAACCCCUCUGCCUUUUAAAAAUGUAUUGUCCCACAAUUCCAUUCCCUUACUUCCUUAGUAUUCUUUCUUAUUCAUUUUCAUUUUGUAGAGUAAAUGUUUUAUUGAAAUAAAACAUAUAUACAGAAAAAUGCACAAAUCCUAAGUUCACAAAUUCUUACGCUCAAUGACUUUUCAUAAGGCAGACACACCUGAUGUAACAAGCACCAGCUUGAGAGACAGAACAUUACCAGCAGCCCAGAAACUUGUGGCUGAUUGCUGCUCUGCUAACUGCUACCCACGAACCACUAGAAAUUAGUGUUGUCUGUUUUUGAGCUUUAUA
Cynocephalus volans (Philippine flying lemur) is the source of this 6816-nucleotide long non-coding RNA. RefSeq lists it as uncharacterized. The transcript is spliced from 3 exons. The record is from RefSeq and is a predicted model, not a curated record. Lineage: Eukaryota; Metazoa; Chordata; Mammalia; Dermoptera; Cynocephalidae.